AAUAAAACAAUGAUGGAAAAAAGUAAUUUAGCCCUUUCUAAAAAGAGAGUCGGUGCCGAUGGCUGGAAGUAUCGAUUAGAGAAGUUAAAUGAAAAUUUCAAUUCCUGAGUUGACUUUGGGAUAUUACAAUAAGCAUUAAAUUUAGUGCUUUGUAGUGAAAAAAGUUCCGGCUUUUGCCGUUAUCUAAAUGAAGUGCAAUUCUAGGUAUAAUAGAAUUGAACAAGGGUGGUACCGCGAUUUCAGACCUCGUCCCUUUU
Carnobacterium maltaromaticum LMA28 is the source of this 257-nucleotide regulatory RNA element. It matches the Rfam family "T-box leader". Rfam says of the family: Uncharged tRNA acts as the effector for transcription antitermination of genes in the T-box leader family. T-boxes are found upstream of many aminoacyl-tRNA synthetase genes and some amino acid biosynthetic genes usually in Gram-positive bacteria. The anticodon of a specific tRNA base pairs to a specifier sequence within the T-box motif, and the NCCA acceptor tail of the tRNA base pairs to a conserved bulge in the T-box antiterminator hairpin. Lineage: Bacteria; Bacillati; Bacillota; Bacilli; Lactobacillales; Carnobacteriaceae. The record is from Rfam.